UAGGAAGCUUCUUGCAGGACAUCCCCAUGUCCUGCAGCCCCUUGAGAUCACUGCGUGGGGCUUCACACCAUCACAACACUACACCCAGCCAGCUGCGGGGGGUUCCCAGCCCUUCUACCCCUGCAAAAGCAGGGGUGCGAGGGGCAGGAGUAUCCCUGCUCACACAGCUCCCAUGCCUCCUGUUCCCCGGGGGGCACCGGGGCGUUGGGAUCACAUCCAGCUGCUUUCAGGCUUCCCAAUAGGAUGUUCUAUUAGUGCAACUGUCAGCGAAACCAGAACUGAGCCUCUGCACUUUUGGCAUAAGCUUCCUCCCUGGUUCACCCAAUGAAGGGGAUCGCGUUGGGUCUGGAGCCCGGGACAACCUCUGGCAUGCAGGGUUGUGUGCUCAGGGCUCUUUCCCAGAUCUGUUUUCUCAGGCAGAAAGUCUCUGCUUUCUGUCACAAAGCAAUAGGUUUUUCUAGAGAGAUUUAAAUGGGACUUCCCAGCUCUGGUACCUGCAGGCAAGCCAACGUUCCUUUGAGUACCUUUGUAACUCUAGCUCUGGGCUCUCCUCUUUCAGAAAGGGAUGUGAGGCCAGGUCUGGCUCCAAAUAACCACCAAGGGUUUGAGUGUGGUGGUGCCCAUGUGUCCAGGGAGCCUGGAGGUGCCCACGUGCAGCAGGCAGGCAGUCUGGGUCUCUGGGAGGUGUGUUCCACCCUCCUUUGGUUCCCAUCCCGUAACUGUUACUGCCACCGGGUCCCCAGGGGUGUCUGAGCUCACAAAGUCACAUUUGGUGACAGCCAGACACCAACGGGAGACCAAGGAGCCCUCCUGGAGGAGAAGGUGCCCAUGGUGGCACGUGGGUUCCCUUCCAGUGGCCAAAGGGAACAAAUGUGCCCAGGCAGAGCUCCACCACCGGUGCCAAAAUGCUGCACAACCCCAGAUGUGUCUAUGCAGUCUCUUUCCACGCAGUGGAGUCCCUGCAGAGCCCGGCCCAGGGCUAGGUCUCCUCCAAGGUGUCUUUGUUUGCACUCAUUCGGACCUGGUAAAUGCUGUGAGCUGAGAGGCGGCCCGUCCGGACUCUCUCUUGGCCUUCGCCUUGCACUGGGCAGUACGGUUGUGAGGGUUUCCUCAUCCGAAAUAAAUGCACGUAGUCACCCGUCUCCGCGUCUCUUCUCCAGCAGAUUAUAAAGACCCCAAAACCCAGCUCCCCAAUGAAGGGACGUCAGGUUGGGCCGGCUGGCGCCCCGAGCAAGCCUGUUGUCUGAUCUCACCAGCAAUAAAAGCCCCGCAGGGGAGCGGCCAGAGCUUUCCAGGCUCUGUGUGUGUGUAGGAUCUCUGCACCAGACCCUUUGUCCAACGUUUUGGACCUGCCCGACUGUAAAUGCAAUCCCAGCCUUGUGCUUUCUCUCCUCUGUUUGUUUCUUGAAGCCUCGGUCUCUCUCUCUGCUCUUACUGUGAAUUCAAACCAGAAGUGUUCUGAACUCGACUCUGUUACUGUUCGUUCUGCGUUGACUGUUGCUGGUUCUCUGAACUGCGUUUAAUGAGACUUUGAAAAAAAAAAGGAAAAAAAAAAAGAAAAGAAAAAA
This is a long non-coding RNA of Oxyura jamaicensis (ruddy duck), 1568 nucleotides long. RefSeq lists it as uncharacterized. The record is from RefSeq and is a predicted model, not a curated record. The transcript has 2 exons. NCBI's taxonomy places the organism in Eukaryota, Metazoa, Chordata, Aves, Anseriformes, Anatidae.